UUGCCUGUUUCUAUAUAGAUUAUUAUCCCACAAAUGAGAAGUUAAUUUUGGUGCUACUAAAAUAACUGAUGCUUUUGACGUCUUCACCUUGCAACAUUAUGCAGUUAAUUUUUGCCGUAACAAUGGGAGGCAAUGGGAAAUUAAUUAAUUUGGAUGCAACCAGAACAACAAACUAUCUGCAGUAGUAUUCCUCCUAGAUUUGUUUAAUUUGCUCAUCACACUGGUAGACUUUAGAACGUCACUUUCUACAAUUAAUUAAGGUUAUACAAUAAAUGAGAGAGAAUUAAUGUUCAGUUUGGUUAUACUGAAACAGCCCAUUUCUAUUACGUGUUGUCUUUCCUGGAUGGAUUAAAUUUUUGAUUUGCUGUUUCCCCUUCGCUUCAGUAGACAACUUUAAAGAACGUUUCAGAAAUGGCAGAAGCAGAAUUAAUGUGGAACAGAUCCUUCAUUAGUGUACAUGUUACUGAUUUAUACUGAUUUGUUCGAUUUAAAAAUGGUAGUUAAUUACUUUUCUUGCCUGUUUCUAUAUAGAUUAUUAUCCCACAAAUGAGAAGUUAAUUUUGGUGCUACUAAAAUAACUGAUGCUUUUGACGUCUUCACCUUGCAACGUUAUGCAGUUAAUUUUUGCCGUAACAAUGGGAGGCAAUGGGAAAUUAAUUAAUUUGGAUGCAACCAGAACAACAAACUAUCUGCAGUAGUAUUCCUCCUAGAUUUGGUUAAUUUGCUCAUCACACUGGUAGACUUUAGAACGCCACUUUCUACAAUUAAUUAAGGUUAUACAAUAAAUGAGAGAGAAUUAAUGUUCAGUUUGAUUA
This is a long non-coding RNA of Agrilus planipennis (emerald ash borer), 815 nucleotides long. RefSeq lists it as uncharacterized. The record is from RefSeq and is a predicted model, not a curated record. Lineage: Eukaryota; Metazoa; Arthropoda; Insecta; Coleoptera; Buprestidae. The transcript is spliced from 3 exons.